RNAcentral lists this ribosomal RNA (2816 nucleotides) under Staphylococcus aureus. RNAcentral's name for it is "bacterial LSU rRNA". It matches the Rfam family "Bacterial large subunit ribosomal RNA". Lineage: Bacteria; Bacillati; Bacillota; Bacilli; Caryophanales; Staphylococcaceae. The record is from RNAcentral.
AGGGCGCACGGUGGAUGCCUUGGCACUAGAAGCCGAUGAAGGACGUUACUAACGACGAUAUGCUUUGGGGAGCUGUAAGUAAGCUUUGAUCCAGAGAUUUCCGAAUGGGGAAACCCAGCAUGAGUUAUGUCAUGUUAUCGAUAUGUGAAUACAUAGCAUAUCAGAAGGCACACCCGGAGAACUGAAACAUCUUAGUACCCGGAGGAAGAGAAAGAAAAUUCGAUUCCCUUAGUAGCGGCGAGCGAAACGGGAAGAGCCCAAACCAACAAGCUUGCUUGUUGGGGUUGUAGGACACUCUAUACGGAGUUACAAAGGACGACAUUAGACGAAUCAUCUGGAAAGAUGAAUCAAAGAAGGUAAUAAUCCUGUAGUCGAAAAUGUUGUCUCUCUUGAGUGGAUCCUGAGUACGACGGAGCACGUGAAAUUCCGUCGGAAUCUGGGAGGACCAUCUCCUAAGGCUAAAUACUCUCUAGUGACCGAUAGUGAACCAGUACCGUGAGGGAAAGGUGAAAAGCACCCCGGAAGGGGAGUGAAAUAGAACCUGAAACCGUGUGCUUACAAGUAGUCAGAGCCCGUUAAUGGGUGAUGGCGUGCCUUUUGUAGAAUGAACCGGCGAGUUACGAUUUGAUGCAAGGUUAAGCAGUAAAUGUGGAGCCGUAGCGAAAGCGAGUCUGAAUAGGGCGUUUAGUAUUUGGUCGUAGACCCGAAACCAGGUGAUCUACCCUUGGUCAGGUUGAAGUUCAGGUAACACUGAAUGGAGGACCGAACCGACUUACGUUGAAAAGUGAGCGGAUGAACUGAGGGUAGCGGAGAAAUUCCAAUCGAACCUGGAGAUAGCUGGUUCUCUCCGAAAUAGCUUUAGGGCUAGCCUCAAGUGAUGAUUAUUGGAGGUAGAGCACUGUUUGGACGAGGGGCCCCUCUCGGGUUACCGAAUUCAGACAAACUCCGAAUGCCAAUUAAUUUAACUUGGGAGUCAGAACAUGGGUGAUAAGGUCCGUGUUCGAAAGGGAAACAGCCCAGACCACCAGCUAAGGUCCCAAAAUAUAUGUUAAGUGGAAAAGGAUGUGGCGUUGCCCAGACAACUAGGAUGUUGGCUUAGAAGCAGCCAUCAUUUAAAGAGUGCGUAAUAGCUCACUAGUCGAGUGACACUGCGCCGAAAAUGUACCGGGGCUAAACAUAUUACCGAAGCUGUGGAUUGUCCUUUGGACAAUGGUAGGAGAGCGUUCUAAGGGCGUUGAAGCAUGAUCGUAAGGACAUGUGGAGCGCUUAGAAGUGAGAAUGCCGGUGUGAGUAGCGAAAGACGGGUGAGAAUCCCGUCCACCGAUUGACUAAGGUUUCCAGAGGAAGGCUCGUCCGCUCUGGGUUAGUCGGGUCCUAAGCUGAGGCCGACAGGCGUAGGCGAUGGAUAACAGGUUGAUAUUCCUGUACCACCUAUAAUCGUUUUAAUCGAUGGGGGGGACGCAGUAGGAUAGGCGAAGCGUGCGAUUGGAUUGCACGUCUAAGCAGUAAGGCUGAGUAUUAGGCAAAUCCGGUACUCGUUAAGGCUGAGCUGUGAUGGGGAGAAGACAUUGUGUCUUCGAGUCGUUGAUUUCACACUGCCGAGAAAAGCCUCUAGAUAGAAAAUAGGUGCCCGUACCGCAAACCGACACAGGUAGUCAAGAUGAGAAUUCUAAGGUGAGCGAGCGAACUCUCGUUAAGGAACUCGGCAAAAUGACCCCGUAACUUCGGGAGAAGGGGUGCUCUUUAGGGUUAACGCCCAGAAGAGCCGCAGUGAAUAGGCCCAAGCGACUGUUUAUCAAAAACACAGGUCUCUGCUAAACCGUAAGGUGAUGUAUAGGGGCUGACGCCUGCCCGGUGCUGGAAGGUUAAGAGGAGUGGUUAGCUUCUGCGAAGCUACGAAUCGAAGCCCCAGUAAACGGCGGCCGUAACUAUAACGGUCCUAAGGUAGCGAAAUUCCUUGUCGGGUAAGUUCCGACCCGCACGAAAGGCGUAACGAUUUGGGCACUGUCUCAACGAGAGACUCGGUGAAAUCAUAGUACCUGUGAAGAUGCAGGUUACCCGCGACAGGACGGAAAGACCCCGUGGAGCUUUACUGUAGCCUGAUAUUGAAAUUCGGCACAGCUUGUACAGGAUAGGUAGGAGCCUUUGAAACGUGAGCGCUAGCUUACGUGGAGGCGCUGGUGGGAUACUACCCUAGCUGUGUUGGCUUUCUAACCCGCACCACUUAUCGUGGUGGGAGACAGUGUCAGGCGGGCAGUUUGACUGGGGCGGUCGCCUCCUAAAAGGUAACGGAGGCGCUCAAAGGUUCCCUCAGAAUGGUUGGAAAUCAUUCAUAGAGUGUAAAGGCAUAAGGGAGCUUGACUGCGAGACCUACAAGUCGAGCAGGGUCGAAAGACGGACUUAGUGAUCCGGUGGUUCCGCAUGGAAGGGCCAUCGCUCAACGGAUAAAAGCUACCCCGGGGAUAACAGGCUUAUCUCCCCCAAGAGUUCACAUCGACGGGGAGGUUUGGCACCUCGAUGUCGGCUCAUCGCAUCCUGGGGCUGUAGUCGGUCCCAAGGGUUGGGCUGUUCGCCCAUUAAAGCGGUACGCGAGCUGGGUUCAGAACGUCGUGAGACAGUUCGGUCCCUAUCCGUCGUGGGCGUAGGAAAUUUGAGAGGAGCUGUCCUUAGUACGAGAGGACCGGGAUGGACAUACCUCUGGUGUACCAGUUGUCGUGCCAACGGCAUAGCUGGGUAGCUAUGUGUGGACGGGAUAAGUGCUGAAAGCAUCUAAGCAUGAAGCCCCCCUCAAGAUGAGAUUUCCCAACUUCGGUUAU